GCUACUCAUAGGCAGGGCGUUUAUCAAUAUGCGUACUUGUGCGUACUUGCGUUCUCGUGUACUCGUGAUACGUCAUCAGUCGGAGACCAAGUACUGUUCCAAUUCGAAGUACGCAUCAAGCCGAGAACGCGAAAAAGUCCCGGAUGUGUUCUCGAUCCGCCCGUUUUAUCGAGCAUGCAUCGGUGUGGACUUGGGACAGCUAUAUGUCCCAGAAUGCAUUUCGUCCAAAACUCAACAGCGGACUCCCGGCACAUCGUUUUCACCCCCCCCCGCUCGCGGUCUUCUCACUACUCAGGUUAAAGAAACUCCAGCAGCUGUCUAUAGUAUUGAGUGUCCACUAAAAUAGAAAUAAAAGCGUUCUAACAUCUCACCUGCUUGUUUUUAUUAAGUGCCCUUCUUCAAAGCUGCCUUGUGUGAUGCAAACAACUUUCCAUAUCUGGAGAAAACAGCCAAAAAAGUACACACCCCACAUCCCUGUUCAUCUAGAGUAUAUUGGAUCACAUAAUACAAUAUCAGGACAACCCAUGGUGAUAUCCACUGGGAUGCAGUCCAUGGAAACCAUACACUGUGUCUACAAGAUAGUAAAGGAGCACAAG
This is a long non-coding RNA of Oreochromis aureus, 596 nucleotides long. The record is from Ensembl. Lineage: Eukaryota; Metazoa; Chordata; Actinopteri; Cichliformes; Cichlidae.